UUCCACAAUGGGGUCUCACUCUAGCCAAGGUGAGGAAGAUCUACGUGUUCUCUAAGGGCUGAGAGGUAUGCCUCAAACCACUGAGGAGGGGUGAUCUAACAUCUCUGCAGUAGAGGGGGCGGGGCUUCUGCAACUGGUUACAAGGGAGCUAGGCAGGGAAGUCCCCCAGCUCUUCUACCUCGGUAUAUUAAACGUUUCUGAGCUCCCCUGUACUGGCGGUCCAGCAGGGUAGGCGGGAGUGGAUGUGUGCAGAGGGAGUAAUACACCAAAGCCUCUGUCCAAGGGGAACUGCUGCAUCAAGGCGGAUCUGUGUGCCUUAGCGCCGGUAAAGGCCCGAGUCGCUCAGCUUUUGGGGGAGGGAGGUAUGUCUCUAUAACCGUGGGAUCGAUGUCGCCACACGGAGACGCCUGUCUACCCUGAAGGGGUGCAGAAUGGAGCCUCGCCAUCCUGAAGAGAGGAGGGCACUCGAUGCUUCUCCACACAAGUGAGAGUGGAGGACGCCUCUUGUUUCCACCUCAAAUACACGAGCCUUAACACGCAGCUGGCUGGGAGAGCGCUCACAACGAGAAAAGAGGAGAGUCGUCUCUUACCUCCACUUCCGGCGGGGAUCAAAGAGGAGAGAAUGGCACCACGAUACGGUUGGUCGGCAGGCUGAGCUAACGCGGAUAGGCUCCGACUUCCGGAUCCCAGCCUUACGGCGCCGGUCCGCCCGCCUUGCUUCGGAUUGACGGCUCGCGCUCGCCCAUCCCUACUCCGCAGGCGCGGUGGUCCCGCCUCCCAGCUUCCCUGUGCGGUGAGAAAAAAGCCGAGAAGGGGUAGGCGGGGGACCGAGCGGCCGGGUCGACUAGUGUGGCCAUAUAACCUACUUGUAAGCCAAGAGCUUGUCCGAUGACCUCUGCCUGGGCCCAAAUAUGCGUGUUCCCGAAUUUUAGUAACCAAGCAAUCACCAUGACCGCAUCAUACAAGGGUGGGGGUCAGUCCCUUUGUCUACAAAGGAAGAUGGCGACGGGCUGGGUGUGAGAAAAUGGCCGCCUAGGUCACAUGUCUUGCCGAGUGCUCCCCACCUAAAAGUGACUUGGUUAGCCGUUCCCAACUUCUUCCUGGCUUGUAGGGUCCCAGACAAACCCUGAGGCAGCCGCUCCCAGCGCUUUCUGCCGAAGUUCAAAUGCAUGGUCAGGCCCAGGAGCUGGACAACUGGAAGCCUCUCCCACCCGUUUGCCCUCUUCUCCUCCUCCUCCUCCCUUCUUAUCUUUGGCCCCAGAGCGGCAAAUGAAGAAAGGAAUGAAUGUAUAUCUCUGAAGUGGGUACAAAUAAGGAUUUCUUUAGAAACUAUCUUGAGAAGCUCCUGACCUGGCUGGAGAAUGAGGUCUCCCCUUAAAAAUAGUAAAUAUUAGUCUGACAAUGAUUUCUUUGUGAUAAUUUAAUUGCAGCCCCUUCUUUUCCUCAAACCUAAACUUUGGGUGUGGGGCCAGGCCCCCAGUACCUCGGGUGUGUAUUCCUCCACCUCAAAAGUAUCCAAGCAGAAACUGAUUCCCUCUGUCUAGUCCUACCCCUUACAUAUGCACUACUCAUUGUGUCUUCUAUCCUCUCACCCUGGAGACACACAAAACUCUGCACCCCAAACCAGUCCUCACCACCUUGACCCUUCCCCCUGCAUUAGCAAAUUCUUCCUGUUUAAGACCUAACUCUGGUCACUUCUGUGAACUUUCACAGCUGAGUUAGAAACUCAGAACACCUUUCUGCACUUAUCUCUUAAUACUGUAAUCAUUUAUAUGGCUGCAUCUCCACACAAAUGGAAAUGCAGUCUCACUUCCUAAGACUAGGGGCCAUAUAUCUUCAAGACCUCAACAAGACCCAGCACAAGACUGGUACAAGGCAGACUUCAGCAAAUAUAUGUGAAAUGGGUUAGUUUAUAGGCCUGCACCACAGAUCAAUGGAAAAUGGACAAUUUAGUAGAUAGCACUGGGAAAUUUGGCUCACCAUAAACAGAGAAAUAAAACUGGAUCCUGACUUAUUUCCACAUAAGAUAGUGAAGAGUAUCUUUGUCACCCACAACUGGGGAAACACUUUUUCAACAAAGUCCCAAAUGUGCAAACUAUAAGGGGAAAAUGCAAUGAAAUCUUUGAUAAGAAUGAAAAUUGGUGUUACUACUUCGGAAAACAAUUAGCAAGUUAUCCGGAAUAGUUAAAGAUGGGCCCUAGGACCCAGGAAUUCUACUGGUAAUGAUGUAUAUAACCUCUAGACUCUUAGAGAAAGAGACAGGUGAGAGUGGGGGAGGGGCAGAGAGAGACACACACACAGAAUCCAAAGCACCCUCCAGGCACUGAGCUGUCAGCACAGAGCCCUACUCUGGGCUCAAACUCAUGAACCACAAGAUCAUGACCUGAGCUAAAGUCAGACGCUUAACCCACUGAGCCACCCAGGUGCCCCUGUCCUAGAGAAAUUCUUAAGCAUAUGCACAAGGAGGCAUGUGCAAGAAAAUUCAUUGCAUAACUGUUUGUAAUAGAGAAGAAAUAUCAAUCUAAAAGUUCACCAACAGAAUGAAUAAAUUGUGGUACAGCUAUACAGCAGCAAAAAAAUGAAACAGAGAUGCAUAUUUCAACCCAGAUAAAUUUCAAAAACACAGUGCUGAGAUAAAAUACAAAUUGUAGAAGGAUAUGUAGAUUUUUAAAUAAAUUUUUAAGUAAUCUCUACACCCACCAUGGGGCUUAAACUUUUGACCGCAAGAGAUCAAGAAUCAGAUGCUUUCUUUACCGGCUAAGCCAGCCAGGUGACCAUAUAUAGUUUUUUUUUUUUUUAAUCUAUAAAACAAUGCAGUGUGUUAUUUAUAGAUUAUAUAAAUAUAUAACCAAUAUUUUUAAGACAAGGGAAUUAAAUACCAAAUGCAGAAUUGUGAUUAGGCCCAGAGAAGAAAACAAAGGAACAGAAUGAGAGAGAGAUACACAGAGGAUUUCAAUUGUUUAUCCAAUAUUUUAUCCAGGUAGUAAGUACAUGGGUGUGUGUUAUGUUAUUCUCUAUACCUAUUUGUAUGCCUGAAAUAUUACAUAAUCUUUUUAGAAAGACUACAAGUAUCUAUAACAAAAUUAAUGAUGGUUAAACCUAGGAGGGCUUGUCAGAACACUGAUUGCUGGGCCCUACGUCCAGGUUUUGUUUCACUAAGUCUGGUAGGGCCCAGGAAUUUGAAUUUCUAACAAGUUUCCAAGUGAUGAUGAUGAUGAUGAAGAAGAAAGAGGGGGAGGAAGAGGAGAAUCAUCUGCAGCUGCUGCUUGUCCAAGUACCAUAUUUUGAGAACUACUGACAGAGAAAAUGAGAUUAUUGGUGAAUUUUGUUGUCUUUAUUGUGCUUUUCUGUGUUUUCUAUGUAGUCAAUGAAUAUGAACUACUUUACGGAGA
Felis catus (domestic cat) is the source of this 3392-nucleotide long non-coding RNA. RefSeq lists it as uncharacterized. NCBI's taxonomy places the organism in Eukaryota, Metazoa, Chordata, Mammalia, Carnivora, Felidae. The transcript is spliced from 2 exons. The record is from RefSeq and is a predicted model, not a curated record.